RNAcentral lists this ribosomal RNA (588 nucleotides) under Penicillium aethiopicum. RNAcentral's name for it is "eukaryotic LSU rRNA". The stretch from base 209 to 361 matches the Rfam family "5.8S ribosomal RNA". The record is from RNAcentral. Lineage: Eukaryota; Fungi; Ascomycota; Eurotiomycetes; Eurotiales; Aspergillaceae.
CUUCCGUAGGGUAACCUGCGGAAGGAUCAUUACCGAGUGAGGGCCCUCUGGGUCCAACCUCCCACCCGUGUUUAUUUUUCCUUGUUGCUUCGGCGGGCCCGCCUUAACUGGCCGCCGGGGGGCUCACGCUCCCGGGCCCGCGCCCGCCGAAGACACCCUCGAACUCUGUCUGAAGAUUGUAGUCUGAGUGAAGAUAUAAAUUAUUUAAAACUUUCAACAACGGAUCUCUUGGUUCCGGCAUCGAUGAAGAACGCAGCGAAAUGCGAUACGUAAUGUGAAUUGCAAAUUCAGUGAAUCAUCGAGUCUUUGAACGCACAUUGCGCCCCCUGGUAUUCCGGGGGGCAUGCCUGUCCGAGCGUCAUUGCUGCCCUCAAGCACGGCUUGUGUGUUGGGCCCCGUCCUCCGAUCCCGGGGGACGGGCCCGAAAGGCAGCGGCGGCACCGCGUCCGGUCCUCGAGCGUAUGGGGCUUUGUCACCCGCUCUGUAGGCCCGGCCGGCGCUUGCCGAUCAACCCAAAUUUUUAUCCAGGUUGACCUCGGAUCAGGUAGGGAUACCCGCUGAACUAAAGCAUAUCAAUAGGCGGAGGAA